Molecule: ribosomal RNA, 468 nt
Filed under: uncultured bacterium
Lineage: Bacteria
Description: partial 16S ribosomal RNA
Rfam family: Bacterial small subunit ribosomal RNA
Source: RNAcentral
GACGAACGCUGGCGGCGUGCUUAACACAUGCAAGUCGAACGGAAAGGCCCUGCUUUUGUGGGGUGCUCGAGUGGCGAACGGGUGAGUAACACGUGAGUAACCUGCCCUUGACUUUGGGAUAACUUCAGGAAACUGGGGCUAAUACCGGUUAGGAGCUCCUGCUGCAGGGUGGGGGUUGGAAAGUUUCGGCGGUUGGGGAUGGACUCGCGGCUUAUCAGCUUGUUGGUGGGGUAGUGGCUUACCAAGGCUUUGACGGGUAGCCGGCCUGAGAGGGUGACCGGCCACAUUGGGACUGAGAUACGGCCCAGACUCCUACGGGAGGCAGCAGUGGGGAAUAUUGCACAAUGGGCGGAAGCCUGAUGCAGCAACGCCGCGUGCGGGAUGACGGCCUUCGGGUUGUAAACCGCUUUCGCCUGUGACGAAGCGUGAGUGACGGUAAUGGGUAAAGAAGCACCGGCUAACUACGUG